UACGAAGGGGGCUAGCGUUGCUCGGAAUCACUGGGCGUAAAGCGCACGUAGGCGGAUCUUUAAGUCAGGGGUGAAAUCCUGGAGCUCAACUCCAGAACUGCCUUUGAUACUGGGGAUCUCGAGUCCGGUAGGGGAGUGUGGAAUUCCUGGUGUAGCGGUGAAAUGCGCAGAUAUCGGGAGGAACACCAACAGCGAAGGCAGCACUCUGGGCCGGUACUGACGCUGAGGAGCGAAAGCAUGGGGAGCGAACAGG
RNAcentral lists this ribosomal RNA (253 nucleotides) under uncultured bacterium. RNAcentral describes it as "partial 16S ribosomal RNA". It matches the Rfam family "Bacterial small subunit ribosomal RNA", at positions 524 to 776 of the family's 1533-position model. The record is from RNAcentral.